RNAcentral lists this small RNA (80 nucleotides) under Salmonella enterica. RNAcentral describes it as "partial RtT sRNA". It matches the Rfam family "RtT RNA", at positions 53 to 130 of the family's 130-position model. Rfam says of the family: This family represents a bacterial cis-regulatory element known as RtT RNA. The exact function of RtT is unknown although it is thought that it may be involved in changing the cellular response in relation to amino acid starvation. Lineage: Bacteria; Pseudomonadati; Pseudomonadota; Gammaproteobacteria; Enterobacterales; Enterobacteriaceae. The record is from RNAcentral. RNAcentral also lists the same sequence under 1 other name.
CGAAAGCGAGAAAGCGUUGCCGCAGGCAACGACCCGAAGGGCGAAGCGCGCAGCGCUGAGUAAUCCUUCCCCCACCACCA